CGGGACGGGUGAGUAAUGUCUGGGAAACUGCCUGAUGGAGGGGGGUAGCUACUGGAAACGGUAGCUAAUACCGCAUAACGUCGCAAGACCAAAGAGGGGGACCUUAGGGCCUCUUGCCAUCGGAUGUGCCCAGAUGGGAUUAGCUAGUAGGUGGGGUAACGGCUCACCUAGGCGACGAUCCCUAGCUGGUCUGAGAGGAUGACCAGCCACACUGGAACUGAGACACGGUCCAG
RNAcentral lists this ribosomal RNA (233 nucleotides) under uncultured bacterium. RNAcentral's name for it is "partial 16S ribosomal RNA". It matches the Rfam family "Bacterial small subunit ribosomal RNA", at positions 100 to 334 of the family's 1533-position model. The record is from RNAcentral.